AGAGUAAAGAAUUAUUGGUCUUGAAAAACUAAAUUGCUUGGCGGCUUACCAACUAAAUAGAGAAGCAUGCUUUUUAAUGGAUAGUACACACAAAUCUUACCUAAUAUUGUAAAUACAUUUGGUACACCGCCGUCGGAAGAACAAUUCCAUGGAAUUGUUCCAUAUUUCUCGUUUAAGGAUUUAAGUCAGGCCAAGGCAUCGAUUAUUAUUGGGUUAAAGUGUGUUUCAUUAUUA
This 234-nucleotide ribosomal RNA is filed under the name Halipeurus spadix. RNAcentral describes it as "partial 12S ribosomal RNA". Lineage: Eukaryota; Metazoa; Arthropoda; Insecta; Psocodea; Philopteridae. The record is from RNAcentral.